AAAUUAGUCACGGAAGCGAAAUAAAAACAGCUGCCGGUGUUGGAACGAACUACUACUAGGGUACAGUGCAGUACCCAGGAAGUCGACGACGAGGCGGCCGUUGGAGCAGCGGCCGGUGGGCUUGCGGAAGAAGGUCAUCCCGUAGGGAGGGCGCGCGGUGGUGAGCGCCUUGGGCGUGCCGUUGACGAUGAGGUUGCCGGCGUCGGAGAGCGAGUCCCCGAAGCUGAAGAUGGCCGUGUACGACUUCUUGCUCCUGGCCGCGGCGCAGGUGGCCGGCAACGCCGCCACGAGCGCGGCGACGAGCAGGAGGGGGAGCACGCCCCGGCGCGGCGGCGCGUGGGCGACGGCCAUUGCGGCUGCGGGUGUCGGCGGCAAGCAGCUAUGUCGACGCGGCCCGACGCGCAUGUGCGGUCCUCAACACAAAGACACCAUCGGCAAAGUGAUUAUGGAGAUUUCCUUCUUUCUACCGAAGGUCCUCAAGACGAAGACCUCGCUUGAAAGCAACGAUGACAAGUGCCGAAGCUGCCAUCAGCUUCGGUUUAGAUCAAGCAAAAGAUGAAAAGACCAGAUAGACCCUAGUGAUUUAAGUUAUGAUUAUAAACAAAUGUUGAAGGUCAUGAAUGUAAUUUUAUCCAGGCUACGUCUUGUGCCUAUAAAUAGAUGAACAGUAGCAUCAUACUGUUCACGCUGAAUUGUAAUCUCUCUCGUGCCAACACAUUCGAGUAAGCCGAAGGUAUCAAUGUAAUAUAA
This 750-nucleotide unclassified non-coding RNA is filed under the name Zea mays. Its description in RNAcentral is "misc RNA Zm00001eb383340". The record is from RNAcentral. Lineage: Eukaryota; Viridiplantae; Streptophyta; Magnoliopsida; Poales; Poaceae.